AUUGAACGCUGGCGGCAGGCCUAACACAUGCAAGUCGAGCGGAGCGGCGGACGGGUGAGUAAUGCCUAUGUAUCUGCCUGGUAGUGGGGGAUAACGUCCGGUAACGGGCGCUACUCCCACAUCCUCUCAGAUGAGCCUAGGUCGGGUUAGCUAGUUGGUGUGGUAAAGGCCUAGCAAGGCGAAGAUCCGUAACUGGUCUGAGAGGAUGAUCAGUCACACUGGAACUGAGACACGGUCCAGACGCCUACGGGAGGAAGAAGUGGGGAAUAUUGGACAAUGGGCGAAAGCCUGAUCCAGCCAUGCCGCGUGUGUGAAGAAGGUCUUCGGAUGGUAAAGCACUUUAAGUUGGGAGGCGUUACCAACAGAAUAAGCACCGGCUAACUUCGUGCCAGCAGCCGCGGUAAUUC
RNAcentral lists this ribosomal RNA (407 nucleotides) under uncultured bacterium. RNAcentral's name for it is "partial 16S ribosomal RNA". It matches the Rfam family "Bacterial small subunit ribosomal RNA", at positions 30 to 526 of the family's 1533-position model. The record is from RNAcentral.